RNAcentral lists this ribosomal RNA (253 nucleotides) under uncultured bacterium. RNAcentral's name for it is "partial 16S ribosomal RNA". It matches the Rfam family "Bacterial small subunit ribosomal RNA", at positions 524 to 776 of the family's 1533-position model. The record is from RNAcentral.
UACAGAGGGUGCUAACGUUGUUCGGAAUUACUGGGCAUAAAGGGUGCGUAGGCGGCUUGUUAAGUCACUGGUGAAAGUUUUCGGCCCAACCGGAAAAUUGCCUGUGAUACUGGCGAGCUCGAGUGCGUGAGGGGUGGGGGGAACGAGCAGUGUAGCGGUGAAAUGCGUAGAUAUUGCUCGGAAGGCCGGAGCCGAAGGGGCCCCACUGGUACGCAACUGACGCUGAGGCACGAAAGCGUGGGGAGCAAACAGG